UGACCUCGGAUCAGGUAGGAAUACCCGCUGAACUUAAGCAUAUCAUUAAGCGGAGGA
This 57-nucleotide ribosomal RNA is filed under the name Colletotrichum kahawae. RNAcentral describes it as "partial 28S ribosomal RNA". It matches the Rfam family "Eukaryotic large subunit ribosomal RNA", at positions 1 to 57 of the family's 3401-position model. The record is from RNAcentral. Lineage: Eukaryota; Fungi; Ascomycota; Sordariomycetes; Glomerellales; Glomerellaceae.